RNAcentral lists this ribosomal RNA (208 nucleotides) under uncultured bacterium. Its description in RNAcentral is "partial 16S ribosomal RNA". It matches the Rfam family "Bacterial small subunit ribosomal RNA", at positions 568 to 774 of the family's 1533-position model. The record is from RNAcentral.
UGCGUAGGCGGCUUUGCAAGUCUGAUGUGAAAUCUCCGGGCCCAACCCGGAAAUGGCAUUAGAAACUGUGAGGCUGGAGGCUUGGAGGGGGAACUGGAAUACUUGGUGUAGCAGUGAAAUGCGUAGAUAUCAAGUGGAACACCGGUGGCGAAGGCGAGUUCCUGGACCAAGACCUGACGCUGAGGCACGAAAGCCGGGGGAGCAAACA